GACGGAGGGUGCUAGCGUUGUUCGGAAUUACUGGGCGUAAAGCGCGUGUAGGCGGCCCUGCAAGUCGGAUGUGAAAUCCCACGGCUCAACCGUGGAAGUGCAUUCGAAACUGCAGGGCUAGAGUCCUGGAGAGGAAGGUGGAAUGCUUGGUGUAGAGGUGAAAUUCGUAGAUAUCAAGCGGAACACCGGUGGCGAAGGCGGCCUUCUGGACAGUGACUGACGCUGAGACGCGAAAGCGUGGGGAGCAAACAGG
Molecule: ribosomal RNA, 253 nt
Filed under: uncultured bacterium
Lineage: Bacteria
Description: partial 16S ribosomal RNA
Rfam family: Bacterial small subunit ribosomal RNA
Source: RNAcentral